UUACCAUGCAAGUCGAACGAUGAUCUCCCGCUUGCGGGAGUGAUUAGUGGCGAACGGGUGAGUAAUACGUGAGUAACCUGCCCUUGACUCUGGGAUAAGCCUGGGAAACCGGGUCUAAUACUGGAUACGACUCCUCAUCGCAUGGUGGGGGGUGGAAAGGGUUUGACUGGUUUUGGAUGGGCUCACGGCCUAUCAGCUUGUUGGUGGGGUAAUGGCUCACCAAGGCGACGACGGGUAGCCGGCCUGAGAGGGUGACCGGCCACACUGGGACUGAGACACGGCCCAGACUCCUACGGGAGGCAGCAGUGGGGAAUAUUGCACAAUGGGCGCAAGCCUGAUGCAGCGACGCCGCGUGAGGGAUGACGGCCUUCGGGUUGUAAACCUCUUUCAGCAGGGAAGAAGCCACAAGUGACGGUACCUGCAGAAGAAGCGCCGGCUAACUACGUGCCAGCAGCCGCGGUAAUACGUAGGGCGCAAGCGUUGUCCGGAAUUAUUGGGCGUAAAGAGCUCGUAGGCGGUUUGUCGCGUCUGCUGUGAAAGCCCGGGGCUCAACCCCGGGUCUGCAGUGGGUACGGGCAGACUAGAGUGCAGUAGGGGAGACUGGAAUUCCUGGUGUAGCGGUGAAAUGCGCAGAUAUCAGGAGGAACACCGAUGGCGAAGGCAGGUCUCUGGGCUGUUACUGACGCUGAGGAGCGAAAGCAUGGGGAGCGAACAGGAUUAGAUACCCUGGUAGUCCAUGCCGUAAACGUUGGGCACUAGGUGUGGGGGACAUUCCACGUUCUCCGCGCCGUAGCUAACGCAUUAAGUGCCCCGCCUGGGGAGUACGGCCGCAAGGCUAAAACUCAAAGGAAUUGACGGGGGCCCGCACAAGCGGCGGAGCAUGCGGAUUAAUUCGAUGCAACGCGAAGAACCUUACCAAGGCUUGACUUUCACCGGACCGCCUCAGAGAUGAGGUUCCC
This 959-nucleotide ribosomal RNA is filed under the name Kocuria sp. RNAcentral's name for it is "bacterial SSU rRNA". It matches the Rfam family "Bacterial small subunit ribosomal RNA", at positions 49 to 1016 of the family's 1533-position model. The record is from RNAcentral. Lineage: Bacteria; Bacillati; Actinomycetota; Actinomycetes; Micrococcales; Micrococcaceae.